ACGGAGAAACAGACGGCCGAACGAGCUGUUACGCGGCGAGCUUCGGCCGAGGGUGAGACGAAUUCGCGCCGGAUUUCGCUCGAUGUCCGCGAAUUUAUUGCUCGGCCAUCCGAUCGAUCGUCGAACCCAGUGACUUUCGCGUGUUUCCACGGAGAAUUUCGGAAUCUACCGCCAACGUGUUCUGGCCCGGUGGAUUAAGUUGUUAGCGUGCUGUUUCCAUUUAGUGCGCCGGUUGUUGCCUGUGUACCUUGCGAUUAAUGAGAUUCGGUUGAGUUUAAGGUUUUUGUAUUUCUGUUUCAGAGCUGGAAUUAACGCAGUUGUUACGAUUAAAGUAUGGUUAUACCUUCUGCAUAUUUACGCAGUUUAAAAGACUUUGGCUAAUAGGUAUCGUUUAUUUAAACGUAAUGGCCAGUUUUGCGUUUGCCCUUUUAGAUUCUUUUAACGAGGUGCAUAAUUUUAAAAAUAUAAUCGCUAUGUCGGUGGCGUUGCAUAGACUCUAAUAAUAAGCAUGACAAUUGAAUCGAUGCAACAUAUGAGCCAGUGGCAGUGGCUGCGUUAAAAAGCACAGCGAUCAAGUUAUAUAUACGUACGUAAAAACACAUCACACGGAGAGAUAUUUCUCUCCACUUGACCCGCAAGAAAUAAACCUAAUUCUUUACACAGCAGCGCUAAUUGUACCAACGCCAUCGACCCGUGAAAUCCAAAUCGUUGUACGUGAAAACAAAGCGAACCUUCGGUGUAUUUUCGUUGCAAACCGAACACGAGUUUCGAGGAUCGAGCUCACUAUAAAUCUGAUCUCCAUUUGCGGAAGGUUCCCAGGGGGAAUUUAAUAGAUCAGUCGAACUGCUACCAGUAGAGACGAAUCGAUUCCAUAAAA
Molecule: long non-coding RNA, 877 nt
Organism: Bombus terrestris (buff-tailed bumblebee)
Lineage: Eukaryota; Metazoa; Arthropoda; Insecta; Hymenoptera; Apidae
Exons: 2
Source: RefSeq, a predicted model, not a curated record